AUCUAUGUGGACUAAUUGAAAAUGGUAUUCCAUCGUCGGAUUUCAACAACUUCAUCCAUAUACACUUCCUGAUGGAGAUCAAGUCAAACCAAAUGGCAUUUACUUGGCCAAACCAUAGAACUUCCCACACUAGUUAAAUUGGAUAGGCGUUUAAUGUCCUUAAAAUGGAUAACAGCCUUUCCUUUCUCUCUCCAUAGACCACCAGCAAAGAAUACAUUGGAACACUACCCUAUCC
Molecule: long non-coding RNA, 235 nt
Filed under: Elaeis guineensis (African oil palm)
Lineage: Eukaryota; Viridiplantae; Streptophyta; Magnoliopsida; Arecales; Arecaceae
Description: long non-coding RNA (EGUI_LNC031507)
Source: RNAcentral